UACGAACUGUGCAAACGUUAUUCGGAAUCACUGGGCUUAAAGGGUGCGUAGGCGGUCAUUUAGGUAGGGUGUGAAAGCCCCCGGCUCAACCGGGGUAUUGCGCCCUAAACCGGGUGACUGGAGUGAGAUAGGGGUGUGUGGAACUUCCGGUGGAGCGGUGAAAUGUGUUGAUAUCGGAAGGAACGCCGGUGGCGAAAGCGACACACUGGGUCUCAACUGACGCUGAGGCACGAAAGCCAGGGGAGCAAACAGG
RNAcentral lists this ribosomal RNA (253 nucleotides) under uncultured bacterium. RNAcentral describes it as "partial 16S ribosomal RNA". It matches the Rfam family "Bacterial small subunit ribosomal RNA", at positions 524 to 776 of the family's 1533-position model. The record is from RNAcentral.